Molecule: long non-coding RNA, 2039 nt
Filed under: Sus scrofa (pig)
Lineage: Eukaryota; Metazoa; Chordata; Mammalia; Artiodactyla; Suidae
Description: lncRNA (ENSSSCG00015070070.1)
Source: RNAcentral
CUCCGCCGCUCCCCCGCCCCCCGCCCCGCAAACCGCAAACAGGCACAGACGGGUAGUAUCCAGGGACAGGUGGGCAGAGCUGGGGCCAGUGCCUGGCGUCUGUCAGGGGUGUCCGCCAGGGCCCAUGCUUCCGGAGGCGGGGACAGCGGGAAGUCACAAAGUGUUCCCCGUGUCGCUUGACAGGUGUGGCCUGCUGGGCGGGAAUCCUGCCCCAGCACGCCGGUUCUCCCGGACAACCUGGGGUUGCAGCAGCCAUCAGUGCCUGCCUGCCUGCCCGCCUGCCUCUCACCCGGAGAGGUCAAGGUGAGCCCGCAGAGAAAGCUCCGGUGUCUCUAGAAGCAGGCGAGCUGCGGAGCGCCCCCUCCCAGCGGUUGUCACGCUGGAAGGUGCGUGGGAACACCUGGAGGGCUCGUUCCAAGCCAGGUGGCCGCCGGGCCCCACCCCAGAGCCUCUGAUCCUGCAGCUCUAGGGUGGGGCCUGAGAGGUGGGGACUCCAGCAAGCUCCUGGGUGAUGCCCGUGCCACCGCCGCUGGUCCGGGGACCCCCCCUACCCCCCCGUGCGAAGCACUGCUCUGGAGGUGGUGGCUCCUAGGUGUGUGCCCCCUGCCCUACCCCGGACCGGCUCCUUUGCGGGGUCCCCAGGGCCUUGGGAAAUGGCGGGGGGGGGGCGCCUCUCGCGAGAGCAGCGCGGCUGUCAUCGCCACCCCUCCCUGCCCCGGGGGCCCUGGAAGGUGCCUGGCCGCCCACCGCCCGCCCGGGCAGGAUGAGGCGUCAGGCUUUUCCGAAGGGCUUCUGGGGUUUCUCCGGGGCUUGUUGGCCUGCCACUGACUUAGCGGGGCGCCGCCUCCUUCGAAAGUCACCGAGCGUUCGUUACCCGUUGCUGCAUCACACGUCUACCCCCAGGAGCCGCGCAGCGCGGCCGGCGCUCGAGGUCUCGCAGGUGUCUGAGGGCCAGGGUCCUGGAGGGCUUGGCUGGGGCUCCUGGCUGGAGGUGUGUCACAGGCUGCCGUCGAGUGGGGGCGUGUGGCGACGAGAUCGGGGCGGCGGCGGGGGGGUGGGGGAGGGGAGGCUCUGCUUCCAGGAUCGCUGGCGGGGCUGUGGCGGGGCCGGGGCCUCCCCACCGGGCCGCUGGGGGCCGGGCUCCCCCAGAGCCAGCGAUCUGGGCGAGACAGAGCCGCCCCCGGGGCCAAGGCACGGUGCCGGUCUGAUGACUUCACCUCCAAGUGACCCUCCCUCCCCUCGGCUGGAUCUUGAUGGGUCACACAGGCCCAAGCCGGGAGCAGUGCAGGAGGGCCCGGCCAAUGAGAAGGCUCCAGGGAGCAUCCUUGCUCCUGAACCUGGCGCGGGAGGGGCUCCUGGUCCGCGCAGGCCCCUCGGGAGCGGGACCCUGUCCUCCGUCUGCGUGGGGGUGGCAGGUUCCAGCCCCCGGGACCAAGACAGGCAGGGCGUGUCACCCUUAGAUGGUCGCGGACAGGACACACGAAAAGCCAGAGAAAGAACAUGUGACCGAGCCCCUGCCUGGCCCCCACGGCCCGAGGUGUGUGCCCCCUGCCCUCUGCCCUUGCGGAGGAGCUGGCAGCCCUGGUGGCACAUGGACGAUCCCGGGGCUGGUUGGCACCUGGAGCCGCAGCCAGGCCGGGUCCUUAACCCACUGAGCGAGGCCACGGAUCGAACCCACGUGCUCCUGGAGACUAUGUUGGGUCCUUACCCCGCUGAGCUACAGUGGGAACUCCCAGGGAGCUCUUUCUUAUCCCAGCAGCCCACGCGCUGCCAGUGCCACCUCCGCCCGCACCCUGGCCUGGGCCCCAGGAUGCUCAUUGGCCUCCGAGGUCCCCCCCCCCGCCGCCCAGUGACUCAGUCCUGCCCCGCUCCUGUCCUUCCCUGAGGGGGCUGGGGCAGUUCCCCUGCCCGAGGGUGGGUACCCCCUCUCUGCACAUGGGUGCGCUAUGCUCCCUCCUUUGGCGCUGCCCCCCCCCCGCCCCCGCCUGCCCUCUGGGGGAACCUGUCAGCAGCCAGGCCCUGGAGUGGGAUGAGCCACA